This 335-nucleotide ribosomal RNA is filed under the name uncultured bacterium. Its description in RNAcentral is "partial 16S ribosomal RNA". It matches the Rfam family "Bacterial small subunit ribosomal RNA", at positions 338 to 690 of the family's 1533-position model. The record is from RNAcentral.
CCUACGGGUGGCAGCAGUGGGGAAUAUUGCUCAAUGGGGGAAACCCUGAAGCAGCAACGCCGCGUGGAGGAUGAAGGUUUUCGGAUUGUAAACUCCUUUUGUUAGAGAAGAUAAUGACGGUAUCUAACGAAUAAGCACCGGCUAACUCCGUGCCAGCAGCCGCGGUAAUACGGAGGGUGCAAGCGUUACUCGGAAUCACUGGGCGUAAAGAGCGCGUAGGCGGGAUAGCAAGUCAGAUGUGAAAUCCUAUGGCUUAACCAUAGAACUGCAUUUGAAACUGGUAUUCUUGAGUAUGGGAGAGGUUAGGUGAAAUCUUGGGUGAGGGGUAAAAUCCG